This 468-nucleotide ribosomal RNA is filed under the name uncultured bacterium. RNAcentral's name for it is "partial 16S ribosomal RNA". It matches the Rfam family "Bacterial small subunit ribosomal RNA", at positions 28 to 507 of the family's 1533-position model. The record is from RNAcentral.
GACGAACGCUGGCGGCGUGCUUAACACAUGCAAGUCGAACGGUGAAGCUCCAGCUUGCUGGAGUGGAUCAGUGGCGAACGGGUGAGUAACACGUGAGCAACCUGCCCCUGACUCUGGAAUAAGCGCUGGAAACGGCGUCUAAUACUGGAUACGAGAAGGGUCCGCAUGGGCACUUUCUGGAAAGUUUUUCGGUUGGGGAUGGGCUCGCGGCCUAUCAGCUUGUUGGUGAGGUAAUGGCUCACCAAGGCGACGACGGGUAGCCGGCCUGAGAGGGCGACCGGCCACACUGGGACUGAGACACGGCCCAGACUCCUACGGGAGGCAGCAGUGGGGAAUAUUGCACAAUGGGCGAAAGCCUGAUGCAGCGACGCCGCGUGAGGGAUGACGGCCUUCGGGUUGUAAACCUCUCUCAGCAGGGAAGAAGCGAAAGUGACGGUACCUGCAGAAGAAGCACCGGCUAACUACGUG